This 484-nucleotide ribosomal RNA is filed under the name uncultured bacterium. RNAcentral's name for it is "partial 16S ribosomal RNA". It matches the Rfam family "Bacterial small subunit ribosomal RNA", at positions 30 to 507 of the family's 1533-position model. The record is from RNAcentral.
AUUGAACGCUGGCGGCAGGCCUAACACAUGCAAGUCGAGCGGAUGAAGGGAGCUUGCUCCUGGAUUCAGCGGCGGACGGGUGAGUAAUGCCUAGGAAUCUGCCUGGUAGUGGGGGAUAACGUCCGGAAACGGGCGCUAAUACCGCAUACGUUCUGAGGGAGAAAGUGGGGGAUCUUCGGACCUCGCGCUAUCAGAUGAGCCUAGGCCGGAUUAGCUAGUUGGUGGGGUAAAGGCCUACCAAGGCGACGAUCCGUAGCUGGUCUGAGAGGAUGAUCAGGCACACUGGAACUGAGACACGGUCCAGACUCCUACGGGAGGCAGCAGUGGGGAAUAUUGGACAAUGGGCGAAAGCCUGAUCCAGCCAUGCCGCGUGUGUGAAGAAGGUCUUCGGAUUGUAAAGCACUUUAAGUUGGGAGGAAGGGCAGUAAGUUAAUACCUGGCUGUUUUGACGGUACCAAAAGAAUAAGCACCGGCUAACUUCGUG